Molecule: ribosomal RNA, 559 nt
Filed under: uncultured archaeon
Lineage: Archaea
Description: bacterial SSU rRNA
Rfam family: Archaeal small subunit ribosomal RNA
Source: RNAcentral
CGGGGUGCACCAGGCGCGAAAACUUUACAAUGCGGGAAACCGUGAUAAGGGGACACCGAGUGCCAGCAUCAUAUGCUGGCUGUCCAGGUGUGUAAACUACACCUGUUAGCAAGGGCCGGGCAAGACCGGUGCCAGCCGCCGCGGUAACACCGGCGGCCCGAGUGGUGAUCGUGAUUAUUGGGUCUAAAGGGUCCGUAGCCGGUUUGGUCAGUCCUCCGGGAAAUCUGACGGCUCAACCGUUAGGCUUUCGGGGGAUACUGCCAGGCUUGGAACCGGGAGAGGUAAGAGGUACUACAGGGGUAGGAGUGAAAUCUUGUAAUCCCUGUGGGACCACCUGUGGCGAAGGCGUCUUACCAGAACGGGUUCGACGGUGAGGGACGAAAGCUGGGGGCACGAACCGGAUUAGAUACCCGGGUAGUCCCAGCCGUAAACGAUGCUCGCUAGGUGUCAGGCAUGGCGCGACCGUGUCUGGUGCCGCAGGGAAGCCGUGAAGCGAGCCACCUGGGAAGUACGGCCGCAAGGCUGAAACUUAAAGGAAUUGGCGGGGGAGCAAGGGCAA